GACGAACGCUGGCGGCGUGCCUAACACAUGCAAGUCGAACGGAACUGUUUUGACAGAUUUCUUCGGAAUGAAUUUGAUUUAGUUUAGUGGCGGACGGGUGAGUAACGCGUGAGUAACCUGCCUUCAAGAGGGGAAUAACAUUCUGAAAAGAAUGCUAAUACCGCAUGACAUAUCGGAACCACAUGGUUUUGAUAUCAAAGAUUUUAUCGCUUGAAGAUGGACUCGCGUCCGAUUAGUUAGUUGGUGAGGUAACGGCUCACCAAGACCGCGAUCGGUAGCCGGACUGAGAGGUUGAACGGCCACAUUGGGACUGAGACACGGCCCAGACUCCUACGGGAAGCAGCAGUGGGGGAUAUUGCGCAAUGGGGGCAACCCUGACGCAGCAACGCCGCGUGAAGGAUGAAGGUUUUCGGAUUGUAAACUUCUUUUAUUAAGGACGAAAAAUGACGGUACUUAAUGAAUAAGCUCCGGCUAACUACGUG
RNAcentral lists this ribosomal RNA (482 nucleotides) under uncultured bacterium. Its description in RNAcentral is "partial 16S ribosomal RNA". It matches the Rfam family "Bacterial small subunit ribosomal RNA", at positions 28 to 507 of the family's 1533-position model. The record is from RNAcentral.